GCCGGGCUCAGUGGUGCACCCCUGUAAUCCCAGCAGCUCGGGAGGCUGAGACAGGAGGAUCGUGAGAUCAAAGCCAGCCUCAGCAACAGCGAGACGCUAAGCAACUCCGUGAGACCCUGUCUCUA
RNAcentral lists this small RNA (125 nucleotides) under Marmota monax (woodchuck). The record is from RNAcentral. Lineage: Eukaryota; Metazoa; Chordata; Mammalia; Rodentia; Sciuridae.